UACGGAGGGUGCAAGCGUUGCUCGGAAUUAUUGGGCGUAAAGCGUCCGCAGGUGGCUCAUCAAGUCUGCUGUCAAAGGCAGGGGCUUAACCCCUGAAAGGCAGUGGAAACUGGGGAGCUAGAGUGCAGUAGGGGUAGAGGGAAUUCCCGGUGUAGCGGUGAAAUGCGUAGAGAUCGGGAAGAACAUCGGUGGCGAAAGCGCUCUGCUGGACUGCAACUGACACUAAAGGACGAAAGCUAGGGGAGCGAAUGGG
RNAcentral lists this ribosomal RNA (253 nucleotides) under uncultured bacterium. RNAcentral describes it as "partial 16S ribosomal RNA". It matches the Rfam family "Bacterial small subunit ribosomal RNA", at positions 524 to 776 of the family's 1533-position model. The record is from RNAcentral.